Molecule: ribosomal RNA, 431 nt
Filed under: uncultured Alphaproteobacteria bacterium
Lineage: Bacteria; Pseudomonadati; Pseudomonadota; Alphaproteobacteria
Description: bacterial SSU rRNA
Rfam family: Bacterial small subunit ribosomal RNA
Source: RNAcentral
AACGAACGCUGGCGGCAGGCCUAACACAUGCAAGUCGAACGCCCUCUUCGGAGGGAGUGGCAGACGGGUGAGUAACGCGUGGGAAUCUACCUAGUGGUGGAGGAUAACUUCGGGAAACCGGAGCUAAUACUCCAUAAGCCCUUCGGGGGAAAGUUUUUUCGCCAUUAGAUGAGCCCGCGUUAGAUUAGCUUGUUGGUAGGGUAAUGGCCUACCAAGGCGACGAUCUAUAGCUGGUCUGAGAGGAUGAUCAGCCACACUGGAACUGAGACACGGUCCAGACUCCUACGGGAGGCAGCAGUGGGGAAUAUUGCACAAUGGGCGCAAGCCUGAUGCAGCCAUGCCGCGUGUGUGAUGAAGGCCUUAGGGUUGUAAAACACUUUCAUCGGUGAAGAUAAUGACGGUAGCCGAAGAAGAAGCCCCGGCUAACUCCG